This 768-nucleotide ribosomal RNA is filed under the name Spintharus flavidus. RNAcentral's name for it is "bacterial SSU rRNA". It matches the Rfam family "Eukaryotic small subunit ribosomal RNA", at positions 1030 to 1824 of the family's 1831-position model. Lineage: Eukaryota; Metazoa; Arthropoda; Arachnida; Araneae; Theridiidae. The record is from RNAcentral.
CCUAGUUCUAACCAUAAACGAUGCCAGCCAGCGAUCCGGCUGUGUUCCUCAAAUGACACGCCGGGCAGCUUCCGGGAAACCAAAGCUUUUGGGUUCCGGGGGAAGUAUGGUUGCAAAAUUCAAACUUAAAGGAAUUGACGGAGAGGCACACAAGCAUUGGAUCCUGCGGCUCAAUUUGACUCAACACGGGUAAGCUUAGCUGGUCAGGACACAAGAAGGAUUGACAGAUUGAGAGCUCUUUCUUGAUUUUGUGGCAAGUGGUGCAUGGCCGUUCUUAGUUCGUGGAGUGAUUUGUCAGGUUGAUUCCGAUAACGAUCGAGACUCUAGCCUACUAAAUAGACGUUCCGAAUCAUUUUCGUCGGACGGUCUUCUUAGAGGGAUACGCGGCGUCUAGCCGCACGAAGACAGAGCAAUAACAGGUCUGUAAUGCCCUUAGAUGUCCAGUGCCGCACGCGCGAUACAUUGAAGGAAUCAGCGUGUGCUUCCCCUGUCCGACAGGACUGGGUAACCCGUUGAACCUCCUUCGUGCUGGGGAUAGGAGAGUGCAAUUACCUCCUUGAACGAGGAAUUCCCAGUAAGCACGAGUCAUCAACUCGUGUUGAUUACGUCCCUGCCUCUUGUGCACACCGCCCGUCGCUGUUAGCGAUUGAAUGAUUUAGUGAGGUMUUCGGACUGGCGCUCGGUGUGUGGCCUCCGGGUCGAGCCUAGUGCCGGAAAGAUGAUCGAACUUGGUUAUUUAGAGGUAACAAAAGUCGUAACAAGGUUUCC